Molecule: ribosomal RNA, 253 nt
Filed under: uncultured bacterium
Lineage: Bacteria
Description: partial 16S ribosomal RNA
Rfam family: Bacterial small subunit ribosomal RNA
Source: RNAcentral
UACGAACCGUACAACCGUUAUUCGGAAUCACUGGGCUUAAAGGGUGCGUAGGCGGCCAUGUAAGUGGGGUGUGAAAUCCCUCGGCUCAACCGAGGAACUGCGCUCCAUACUGCAUGGCUUGAGGGAGACAGGGGUAAGCGGAACUGAUGGUGGAGCGGUGAAAUGCGUUGAUAUCAUCAGGAACACCGGUGGCGAAAGCGGCUUACUGGGUCUCUUCUGACGCUGAGGUACGAAAGCUAGGGUAGCGAACGGG